AGAGCUUAGCUGAUUGGUGAACAGUGAUUGAUUACUUCUUUGUUCACAGUGGCUAAGUUCUGC
This 63-nucleotide microRNA precursor is filed under the name Lepisosteus oculatus (spotted gar). RNAcentral describes it as "Loc-Mir-27-P2_pre stem-loop". It matches the Rfam family "mir-27 microRNA precursor family", at positions 10 to 80 of the family's 80-position model. The record is from RNAcentral. Lineage: Eukaryota; Metazoa; Chordata; Actinopteri; Semionotiformes; Lepisosteidae.